RNAcentral lists this transfer RNA (77 nucleotides) under Methylobacterium aquaticum. RNAcentral describes it as "tRNA-Met". It matches the Rfam family "tRNA". Rfam says of the family: Transfer RNA (tRNA) molecules are approximately 80 nucleotides in length. Their secondary structure includes four short double-helical elements and three loops (D, anti-codon, and T loops). Further hydrogen bonds mediate the characteristic L-shaped molecular structure. tRNAs have two regions of fundamental functional importance: the anti-codon, which is responsible for specific mRNA codon recognition, and the 3' end, to which the tRNAs corresponding amino acid is attached (by aminoacyl-tRNA synthetases). tRNAs cope with the degeneracy of the genetic code in two manners: having more than one tRNA (with a specific anti-codon) for a particular amino acid; and 'wobble' base-pairing, i.e. permitting non-standard base-pairing at the 3rd anti-codon position. RNAcentral also lists the same sequence under 1 other name. The record is from RNAcentral. Lineage: Bacteria; Pseudomonadati; Pseudomonadota; Alphaproteobacteria; Hyphomicrobiales; Methylobacteriaceae.
CGCGGGGUGGAGCAGCCCGGUAGCUCGUCAGGCUCAUAACCUGAAGGUCACAGGUUCAAAUCCUGUUCCCGCAACCA